AGCAGCGUGGCUCAGUGGAAAGAGCCGGGGCUUGGGAGUCAGAGGUCACGGGUUCGAAUCCCGGCUCUGCCA
This 72-nucleotide transfer RNA is filed under the name Ornithorhynchus anatinus (platypus). It matches the Rfam family "tRNA". Rfam says of the family: Transfer RNA (tRNA) molecules are approximately 80 nucleotides in length. Their secondary structure includes four short double-helical elements and three loops (D, anti-codon, and T loops). The record is from Rfam by way of RNAcentral. Lineage: Eukaryota; Metazoa; Chordata; Mammalia; Monotremata; Ornithorhynchidae.